GAGCUCCUUCCUCCGUGGGUUGGGAUUUGUUGUAUUACUCGGAGAUCUCUGAACAGUAUUGCACUUGUCCCGGCCUGUGGAGGACCGGGGAGAAU
RNAcentral lists this microRNA precursor (95 nucleotides) under Python bivittatus (Burmese python). RNAcentral's name for it is "microRNA pbv-mir-92a precursor (pbv-mir-92a-2)". Its record names the gene pbv-mir-92a-2. The stretch from base 7 to 87 matches the Rfam family "mir-92 microRNA precursor family". Rfam says of the family: This family represents the microRNA precursor mir-92. Human miR-92 has two predicted hairpin precursor sequences: mir-92-1 on chromosome 13 and mir-92-2 on chromosome X. miR-92 has also been cloned from mouse embryonic stem cells. The mature sequence is excised from the 3' arm of the hairpin. Lineage: Eukaryota; Metazoa; Chordata; Lepidosauria; Squamata; Pythonidae. The record is from miRBase by way of RNAcentral.